Molecule: ribosomal RNA, 240 nt
Filed under: uncultured Lactobacillus sp.
Lineage: Bacteria; Bacillati; Bacillota; Bacilli; Lactobacillales; Lactobacillaceae
Description: partial 16S ribosomal RNA
Rfam family: Bacterial small subunit ribosomal RNA
Source: RNAcentral
UAACCUGCCCAAGAGAUCGGGAUAACACCUGGAAACAGAUGCUAAUACCGGAUAACAACAGAUGAUGCCUAUCAACUGUUUAAAAGAUGGUUCUGCUAUCACUCUUGGAUGGACCUGCGGUGCAUUAGAUAGUUGGUAGGGUAACGGCCUACCAAGGCGAUGAUGCAUAGCCGAGUUGAGAGACUGAUCGGCCACAUUGGGACUGAGACACGGCCCAAACUCCUACGGGAGGCAGCAGCG